Molecule: ribosomal RNA, 253 nt
Filed under: uncultured bacterium
Lineage: Bacteria
Description: partial 16S ribosomal RNA
Rfam family: Bacterial small subunit ribosomal RNA
Source: RNAcentral
UACGUAGGCAGCAAGCGUUGUUCGGAAUUACUGGGCGUAAAGAGUGUGUAGGCGGUGCUCUAAGUCUGUCGUGAAAUCUCCCGGCUUAACUGGGAGGGUGCGGCGGAUACUAUUGUGCUAGAGGGUGGGAGAGGUAAGCGGAAUUCCUGGUGUAGCGGUGAAAUGCGUAGAUAUCAGGAGGAACACCUGCGGUGUAGACAGCUUACUGGACCACUUCUGACGCUGAGACACGAAAGCGUGGGUAGCAAACAGG